Long non-coding RNA from Heterocephalus glaber (naked mole-rat), 3597 nucleotides. The record is from Ensembl. NCBI's taxonomy places the organism in Eukaryota, Metazoa, Chordata, Mammalia, Rodentia, Bathyergidae.
UAGGGGGCUGAGCUCCCCGUGGCCCGGAGCCCUGUGUGUGCCCUGCCGAGCGGCGAGGACACACCGAGGGCCCUGGACGGAAUCGGGGGUGCUUGCGUGCGCGGGUGCGUGCGCCGCACUCCCGAGGGACGCGGUUUCAUCCUGUGCCCUGAGCCCUCAGCUGCAAGAAACCAAACUGCUCUGCGUGGAUUUAAGGACAAAAGGGCUUUUGCAGAAAGGGAUCGGGCAGCUCGUUGAAUCGGCGGGAAUGCCAGACAAGUGGACUUGAGAAUAGGCCCGGAAAAGGGAGCAGCAGCCAGGGCUACAGCCAAGCCCGCCCUGGGGCCAGGCGGCCCGAUAUCCUGGGCGCACUGCCUUUCUGGGCGCUGCCAGCGCUGCGGGGCGCAAAGGCCUCCCGGGGUGCACGCCCCUCCCCGCUCCUGGCCUCGCUCUGGCUCUGGCUCUGGCUCUGGCUCUGGCUCUGGGUCAGACCAGGGCGUUCACAUGCGACGGGCCGCCCCGCUCUCCCACUCUGAACCCACGGGGCGCGCACAGGGGAGCAACCCGGCCGGGGCAAUGGGACAAGCCCUCUGCCGCUGGGCUGAGAAGGACUGGCCGGCACGGCCUGGCCAACAGACAAUCUCUUCAGGAUUGCUGUAGAAGUGGAGAUCAGGCGUGACCUCCCACGGGUGUUCAGGGAGAUGGUGCCAUGCACGCGCAGCCCUUCCCGGGCCAGCACCCACAUCAGACCCACUGAGUGAGCCCCCUUGUUGCAUGGCAUGGCGAUGUCCACAUAGCGCAGAGGAGAAUCUGUUACACGGAGCAGUGGGCGGCACAUUGACGUAAGACACCCCCGUGAGGGGCUGGUGGUCAGCCCUGGGAUCCGUCACCACCGGAAGACGCGGCUCUCGGAGGGCUGCCUGGAUCCGGUCAGUGAAGGUCCCGGGAGUGAAGCAGCCCGCGAUAGGAGCAGCUCCAGUGGCAGCGGCAACUCCGGCACAGCCCGAUGGUGGUGUUCCUAGAGGCUAUGACGCUGGCACCAGCAGGGUUUUCAGUGGCGACCAUGGCUCAUGCAGCAGCGGGAGUUUUUCCAGGUGCCCUGGCAGAGUCCCCAGAGCACAGCUUUAUAAUCAAGCAGCUUCAGCUCCACCACGACCCAUUUGUUAGCUGCGCGACCUUCACAACUAACGCAGCGCCGGCACCCUGUCCUCAUCUGGGAAGCAGGUUAAUGACUGCUGUGGGGACCAAAUAACCCUCUGCCUGUGCUUUAGAUGCACACAGAAUGCCGAGCACGCAGCAAGCCCGCUUCUCGUUCCUCCACACCGUCCCCAUUCUCUGUCCCCGGGGCAGCAGCCCUCAUGCACUCGAGCAGGACCCCAUCUGCCCCUGCAUCUCCGUGUGCAGCUCUUGCGAGGCCAGACGGCCACACACGGAUCAUCCUUCUGCCCGGAGGAGGAUUCUCAGUGGGACACAAGAUCACCUGAUCCAGAAGCUCCCAGUUCCCUCAAGUGGCCAAAGCAGGUAGGGAGUGGCAACGGCAGACCACACGGCAGGGGGGGGACCCCAGGCCAGUGACCAGCUUCUGCCCCAGCCAGGUUUUGGAGCUGGAGGAGCAGCCCUGCCUUGGGAGGAGCUGCCCCGUACCCUGCCAAGUCUACACAGUGACUCACAGGUAUUACUGUACCAGGAAAGGGUGGAGAGCAGCACCCAGAACUGUGGGCAGUGAGCGGACAGUGACCCCACAUGAUGCGGAAACCUAGGCUCCACUCCAGGGCCUCAGGUGGUCCAGGGACCACCCUGGUCUCUGAAUGUACAAAUGAAAUGGGAUAUGGAUUAAAGUCAGAUCCAGACUCUGGUCUCCUGGAAGCUGGAGGUCAUCACAGGCUCACGCUGCGUCCUCGGGUGUGGGCAAAGGCCAGAACCGUUGGACGAACACACCAGUUGUCCCCACAGGCCCCUGGGCCAGAUGCCAGUUACAGACAUCCCAGGGAAGAAUAGCCAGACCGAGUUCCACCAUGAGAGUCCUACAGGAAGCGGAGAGCUGAUCCUUGGAGCUGCCCUUAUGUGUCAGUCUGGCCCGAAAAGAGCAGGUGGAUCCUGGGAGACGUCACAGCGCAGCGCCAGGGGCAGCUGUGUGCCAGGCACAGUGCAGCCCUCGCCGCACACAGCCACUGACCUGCAGGAGUAGUGACACUCGCCUUUCUUCCUCUCAUCCAGACGGCCCUCACCUUGGUCAGCAUCUGGGACACAGACGAGAUGCUAGGUGUGGAACAGGAGCGUGUUCUGGGACAGGACUGUGAUCUGGAUGAAGUGAGGUGACUCAGGCCAAGCUGUUCAGCAUCUCCAGGUGCGGCUGCCUGACUGUAGCAUGGAGACAGUAACAUGACCUGUUACAGACUGUCGGGGGCAUUACGUGAGCCAAUACUUGAAAAUGCUGAGAAUAACCAGCACAGCAAGCAACUAAAACAGAAAUAGGAUCUUUCUGACUGCACAACUCCCCUUGCUCAUGCGCUUCCUGGACACACACAUCAAAGACCGUGUCAGAGAAAGCUGCAGUUUCGACCCUCAAGAUAAUAAACCGUUUCUCAGUUCUGAAGCCACAGCAGCGGAGGAGCCUGCACCACUAGCGACUCUCCCGAGUUGCCCGGACCACGGACCAAGUCUGCGGCUGAGGGUGGGGAGGACCAGAGGGUUCGGGAAGCCCCCACGAUUCCAGACAGUGUGCUGCUGCCGGAAGUAGCAGGUGCUAGGAGCACAUCAGCAUCAACGUGAAGGGACGCGGCACAGACCAAGCAAGACUGCGGACACAGAUAUGGCCACAGCAAGGCUGCCCACACACAGAAGCAAGCUGUGAUAGAAGUUUAAUUUUUUUUUUAUGAAGAAGGGAAGUGUUUACACUGAGAACUUCAUUCCACUAAGGAUUAUGUCUGUUUACAAAAUCGAGAUGUGUACUUAUUUCUAGCUGGGUAAGGGCCCAAGCAUAAACACAUGGCAAUUCUAAUUUGGCCCAAUGACCCUGGAAGUACUACGACUGAACGUAGGAGGGUUGGUCAGCAUAAAUAGCAGGACCUGACAGGCACAGACACUGGUACGGAGUAGAGGGUGCCCAGGCGGUCAUACAAGAACCAGGGAAGAGAGACAAGCACACACUGCAUGUUAGAAUGCGGAUUACUCGAUGUCCCCAAGAGAUGCAUUACGUACAAAAAUGAAAUCUCUCACUAAAAAUGAGACUUCUAGAAUCAAAACUCACAGUAAAGAAUACAAAUACUAUAAACAAUGAUAAUAGAAUGGAUCAAACCUAAUAGGUUAGGUACUUCCGGCAUGGAAAACCUAACACAUCAUUUCUACAAAAGAUACCAAGUUUCAAAGACAAAAAUUCAUAAGAAAGGGACUUAAAAGUUUGCCAUCAAAAAUAUCAGUCUCACACUGUGGCUCAGUUUUGAAAUAUACUCAUCUACAUAAUCAGACAUAUCCAGACCAAAAGUCAACUAGUCAAAAACUCACAUCCUUUCUUUUUCCUUUAGUUAUAGUAAGAAUACCAAAACUUGGGAAAGAAAGAAUACUGAAAGAAUAGGAAUUAUUUCGAAUCAUACUGUACUGGGAAAUUCUUAAACUUAA